GAUGAACGCUGGCGGCGUGCCUAAUACAUGCAAGUCGAGCGAAUGGAUUAAGAGCUUGCUCUUAUGAAGUUAGCGGCGGACGGGUGAGUAACAUGUGGGUAACCUGCCCAUAAGACUGGGAUAACUCCGGGAAACCGGGGCUAAUACCGGAUAACAUUUUGAACCGCAUGGUUCGAAAUUGAAAGGCGGCUUCGGCUGUCACUUAUGGAUGGACCCGCGUCGCAUUAGCUAGUUGGUGAGGUAACGGCUCACCAAGGCAACGAUGCGUAGCCGGCCUAAGAGGGUGAUCGGCCACACUGGGACUGGGACACGGCCCAGACUCCUACGGGAGGCAGCAGUAGGGAAUCUUCCGCAAUGGACGAAAGUCUGACGGAGCAACGCCGCGUGAGUGAUGAAGGCUUUCGGGUCGUAAAACUCUGUUGUUAGGGAAGAACAAGUGCUAGUUGAAUAAGCUGGCACCUUGACGGUACCUAACCAGAAGGCCACGGCUAACUACGUGCCAGCCGCCGCCGUAA
RNAcentral lists this ribosomal RNA (515 nucleotides) under uncultured bacterium. RNAcentral describes it as "partial 16S ribosomal RNA". It matches the Rfam family "Bacterial small subunit ribosomal RNA", at positions 28 to 523 of the family's 1533-position model. The record is from RNAcentral.